The sequence is a ribosomal RNA, 402 nucleotides long. It matches the Rfam family "Bacterial small subunit ribosomal RNA", at positions 355 to 774 of the family's 1533-position model.
UGAGGAAUAUUGGUCAAUGGGGGAAACCCUGAACCAGCAACGCCGCGUGAAGGAUGAAGGUUUUCGGAUUGUAAACUUCUUUUAUUGGGGAAGAUAGUGACGGUACCCAAUGAAUAAGCCACGGCUAACUACGUGCCAGCAGCCGCGGUAAUACGUAGGUGGCGAGCGUUGUCCGGAAUUACUGGGUGUAAAGGGCGAGUAGGCGGGAUUGCAAGUCAGAUGUGAAAUGCGGAAGCUCAACUUCCGAGCUGCAUUUGAAACUGUAAUUCUUGAGUGAUGGAGAGGCAGGCGGAAUUCCCGGUGUAGCGGUGGAAUGCAUAGAUAUCGGGAGGAACACCAGUGGCGAAGGCGGCCUGCUGGACAUUAACUGACGCUGAGGAGCGAAAGCGUGGGGAGCAAACA